GACGUAGGGGGCGAGCGUUGCCCGGAAUUACUGGGCGUAAAGGGGGCGUAGGCGGUCAAAUAAGUCAGAUGUGAAAUACUACUGCUCAACGGUAGAAAUGCGUUUGAAACUGUAAGACUUGAGGGUACCAAAGGUAGACGGAAUUACCUGAGUAGGGGUGAAAUCCGUAGAUACAGGUAAGAACGCCAGUGGGGAAGCCGGUCUACUGGGGUAACCCUGACGCUGAGGCCCGAAAGCUAGGGGAGCGAACCGG
RNAcentral lists this ribosomal RNA (253 nucleotides) under uncultured bacterium. Its description in RNAcentral is "partial 16S ribosomal RNA". It matches the Rfam family "Bacterial small subunit ribosomal RNA", at positions 524 to 776 of the family's 1533-position model. The record is from RNAcentral.